RNAcentral lists this ribosomal RNA (468 nucleotides) under uncultured bacterium. RNAcentral's name for it is "partial 16S ribosomal RNA". It matches the Rfam family "Bacterial small subunit ribosomal RNA", at positions 28 to 507 of the family's 1533-position model. The record is from RNAcentral.
GACGAACGCUGGCGGCGCGCCUAACACAUGCAAGUCGAACGGAGCUGAGAGAAGCUUGCUUUUCUUAGCUUAGUGGCGAACGGGUGAGUAACGCGUGAGUAACCUGCCCUGGAGUGGGGGACAACAGUUGGAAACGACUGCUAAUACCGCAUAAGCCCACGAUCCGGCAUCGGCUUGAGGGAAAAGGAUUUAUUCGCUUCAGGAUGGACUCGCGUCCAAUUAGCUAGUUGGUGAGGUAACGGCCCACCAAGGCGACGAUUGGUAGCCGGACUGAGAGGUUGAACGGCCACAUUGGGACUGAGACACGGCCCAGACUCCUACGGGAGGCAGCAGUGGGGGAUAUUGCACAAUGGGGGAAACCCUGAUGCAGCGACGCCGCGUGGAGGAAGAAGGUUUUCGGAUUGUAAACUCCUGUCGUUAGGGACGAUAAUGACGGUACCUAACAAGAAAGCACCGGCUAACUACGUG